UCGGGGCUGCGGCGGCGCGGAGCCCCUGGGCAGCCGCGCUGCCACCGCGCUCCUUCCCGCCGCCGGCUCUGCGCCGCUGAUCGGCCUCUGCCUUUCCGUCUCCCGUCCAAGAAGCGCCUCGGAGACGGGAGAAACGGGCGAGUAAAGGCUGGGGACGGGGGUUUCAAAGCGAAAAAGACGAGCGUUCGGAACUUAGAAAUCGGCUUCGGCCGCCGCUUCUCUGGGGGCUGUUUCGGGAGGAGGUCCCAGCAGACAUUUCGGGUUUCGCAAGGAGCGCGGUUUCCUGACAGACGAGCGCACAGGGAGCCGGCUCUGGGGGAAAUCCUGCCGCGGCCUGCGGGGCGGCGCCGCGCUCCCACGGCGCCCGGGCGGCCCGGCUCGGCGGGCGCGGAUGGACGCACACAUGGACGGAUGGGUGGAUGAGCACUGCCAGCGAGCAGUGAUGUCGACAUUAAUUAUGUAGAUACGGGCUCUGGUACUACAAAAUCUAUAAUGAAGGGCAACUAAUCUGAAUGGGAACAGGACUGGGCCCACAAUUCCUGAUAUUCAUUUCAACAUCAGCCUAAACAUGAAAUUUUUGAGAUGGAAAAGCUCACCAUAAUUCAUCAUUACAUUAAAAUGUACCCAUUUUGAAAGUCAAAAAAUUGUAUCUCAAUGGAUACAAUUACUGCUAAAGUCAAUAAAGAGAAACGAU
Long non-coding RNA from Lonchura striata (white-rumped munia), 694 nucleotides. RefSeq lists it as uncharacterized. Lineage: Eukaryota; Metazoa; Chordata; Aves; Passeriformes; Estrildidae. The record is from RefSeq and is a predicted model, not a curated record.